RNAcentral lists this long non-coding RNA (588 nucleotides) under Parus major (Great Tit). Its description in RNAcentral is "lncRNA (ENSPMJG00000014440.1)". Lineage: Eukaryota; Metazoa; Chordata; Aves; Passeriformes; Paridae. The record is from RNAcentral.
GAAGAAUUAGUCUGAAAAUAUUUGCCCCAAGUUACUCUCAAUAUUUUCUCAUUCUAGCACAUCUGGAAUUAGGAAGGAUCAAAAGUAGAGGCAAAAAAAAGCCACAAGUUGGGUAAUAGAAAUAAAGUCUCAACAUGGAUUUUGGCAAGGAGGAGAAAGACUUGAAGCAGCAGAGUAACACCUUGACCUGCAGACCUUCACACAGGAAUUCAGGCAGAUUAAGAAACCUGUGAUAGGUACACUCUAGAAUCAUGCAGCUUAUCCCACAUUGGUGAUGCUUUUUUCAACCUCAGAACAUUAAAAAAGAAGCAAAUAAAAACCUAAACCUGCUUUAAUCAAGGAAAGACAUUCAGGCAGCUGAUGAGAACAGAGGAAGGAGCAGAUGAUGGCACCAAAUCCUGCCCUGGAGCUGAGCAGGGCUCAAGGAGCAGCCCCGUGUGGAGGAGCAGAUGGAGCUCUGCAAACUGUACUCUCCUGGUCCUGGGCACUUCAGCGAGGUGUUAUUGAAUAGGAAUGUGUAAACACACAGAAAAUGGGCUGAGCAGGAAAACCUGCUCAGGCCUAGACCUCAUCAAUGUCUUGGAAAAC